AUGUGACCUCAAAUCAGGUAGGACUACCCGCUGAACUUAAGCAUAUCAAUAAGCGGAGGAAAAGAAACUAACAAGGAUUCCCCUAGUAACUGCGAGUGAAGCGGGAAAAGCUCAAAUUUAAAAUCUGGCGGUCUUUGGCCGUCCGAGUUGUAAUCUAGAGAAGUGUUAUCCGCGCUGGACCGUGUACAAGUCUCCUGGAAUGGAGCGUCAUAGAGGGUGAGAAUCCCGUCUUUGACACGGACUGCCAGGGCUUUGUGAUGCGCUCUCAAAGAGUCGAGUUGUUUGGGAAUGCAGCUCAAAAUGGGUGGUAAAUUCCAUCUAAAGCUAAAUAUUGGCGAGAGACCGAUAGCGAACAAGUACCGUGAGGGAAAGAUGAAAAGAACUUUGGAAAGAGAGUUAAACAGUACGUGAAAUUGCUGAAAGGGAAACGCUUGAAGUCAGUCGCGUUGGCCAGGGAUCAACCUUGCUUUUGCUUGGUGCACUUUCUGGUUGACGGGUCAGCAUCAAUUUUGACCAUUGGAAAAAGAUUAGGGGAAUGUGGCAUCCUCGGAUGUGUUAUAGCCCUUAGUUGCAUACAAUGAUUGGGAUUGAGGAACUCAGCACGCCGCAAGGCCGGGUUUUUAACCACGUACGUGCUUAGGAUGCUGGCAUAAUGGCUUUAAUCGACCCGUCUUGAAACACGGACCAAGGAGUCUAACAUGCCUGCGAGUGUUUGGGUGGAAAACCCGAGCGCGUAAUGAAAGUGAAAGUUGAGAUCCCUGUCGUGGGGAGCAUCGACGCCCGGACCAGACCUUUUGUGACGGUUCCGCGGUAGAGCAUGUAUGUUGGGACCCGAAAGAUGGUGAACUAUGCCUGAAUAGGGUGAAGCCAGAGGAAACUCUGGUGGAGGCUCGUAGCGAUUCUGACGUGCAAAUCGAUCGUCAAAUUUGGGUAUAGGGGCGAAAGACUAAUCGAACCAUCUAGUAGCUGGUUCCUGCCGAA
RNAcentral lists this ribosomal RNA (981 nucleotides) under Cortinarius mycenarum. Its description in RNAcentral is "eukaryotic LSU rRNA". It matches the Rfam family "Eukaryotic large subunit ribosomal RNA", at positions 1 to 965 of the family's 3401-position model. The record is from RNAcentral. Lineage: Eukaryota; Fungi; Basidiomycota; Agaricomycetes; Agaricales; Cortinariaceae.